RNAcentral lists this ribosomal RNA (856 nucleotides) under uncultured bacterium. RNAcentral describes it as "bacterial SSU rRNA". It matches the Rfam family "Bacterial small subunit ribosomal RNA", at positions 74 to 901 of the family's 1533-position model. The record is from RNAcentral.
AAGAGCUUGCUCUUUAUGAAAUCCAGUGGCAAACGGGUGAGUAACACGUAAACAACCUGCCUUCAGGAUGGGGACAACAGACGGAAACGACUGCUAAUACCGAAUACGAUUCUUGAGUCGCAUGACACAAGAAAGAAAGGGUGGCCUCUACUUGUAAGCUAUCGCCUGAAGAGGGGUUUGCGUCCGAUUAGGUAGUUGGUGAGGUAACGGCCCACCAAGCCGACGAUCGGUAGCCGGUCUGAGAGGAUGAACGGCCACAUUGGAACUGAGACACGGUCCAGACUCCUACGGGAGGCAGCAGUGGGGAAUCUUCCGCAAUGGGCGGAAGCCUGACGGAGCAACGCCGCGUGAGUGAAGACGGCCUUCGGGUUGUAAAACUCUGUGAUUCGGGACGAAAGAUAAGUAGACGAAUAAUCUGCAUAAGUGACGGUACCGAAAAAGCAAGCCACGGCUAACUACGUGCCAGCAGCCGCGGUAAUACGUAGGUGGCAAGCGUUGUCCGGAAUUAUUGGGCGUAAAGCGCGCGCAGGCGGCUACUUAAGUCCAUCUUAAAAGUGCGGGGCUUAACCCCGUGAUGGGAUGGAAACUGAGAAGCUGGAGUGUCGGAGAGGAAAGUGGAAUUCCUAGUGUAGCGGUGAAAUGCGUAGAGAUUAGGAAGAACACCGGUGGCGAAGGCGACUUUCUGGACGACAACUGACGCUUAGGCGCGAAAGCGUGGGGAGCAAACAGGAUUAGAUACCCUGGUAGUCCACGCCGUANACGAUGGAUACUAGGUGUAGGAGGUAUCGACCCCUUCUGUGCCGGAGUUAACGCAAUAAGUAUCCCGCCUGGGAAGUACGAUCGCAAGAUUAAAACU